This is a non-coding RNA of Meleagris gallopavo (turkey), 8774 nucleotides long. NCBI's taxonomy places the organism in Eukaryota, Metazoa, Chordata, Aves, Galliformes, Phasianidae. The record is from RefSeq and is a predicted model, not a curated record.
UUAGUCCUCUAUAAAUUAAGUCAAGAAGAUAUGUUCAUAUGUGAAAACAAUUUAUAGAUUUGAUGCAGAAUUUGUGUCAUUUACCAUGGAAAUUUGUCAAGGGAAGUCUGGCUGGAAAGUCUCUCCAGCAUUUGUACUUAUGGCUGAAGGAGCUAGGGUCUCCAUAGAACUGAGUUUUCAGGAUCUCAUCUUUCACGAUUACACACGUGGCACGUUGUGUUCCGUACAGAGACUGCACAAGCUCAGCAGCUGUUUUCCUCAUUUCACAAAGUGUAUGGAAGAACUAAAGGGAGAUCAAGAAAGAGUAAUGAGGAUGAUUAAGGAUAUGAAAAAAAAAUCUGUUUUCAAAGAUUAGGGUUUUUUUUCUAACCUCAGAGGAUGUUAAAAAAGGGUAUGCAGUAGAAUAAUUGUCUAGGUACAGUAGAUUAGAUGACUGUGUUCUCUGUCAUCUAACGUAAGCACAGGAACAUCAAGGAAAAUUAAAAAGUAACAUUCAAAACUGAUAAAAUACAAGCUAUAAUUACCUCUACUUAUAAAACUUGUAAUUAGAGUAUGGAAUUCACUGCCAAAUCACAAAGGCCAAGAAUGCAACAAGAUUAAAAAGAGUAUUGCAUUUUUAGGGAUAACAAGAAUAUUCAAGAGAUAUGGUUGAAUGAUAAAAAUAAAAGAAGGGCUAUUAGGUCUCAGGUUUCAAGGUGGAAACCAAAUUUCUGUUGAUUAGAGUGAAUUGGUACUGAUACUGGGAAAUUAGUGAAUAAGUAAUAUUAGUAAGGAGGAGAUAGUCCACCUCUGCCUGCCCUCGAGCCUUUGUAUAGAGAGAUCCAGUGUGCUGGAUUACACAGUUUGUAUAGUAAGGCAGUUCUUAACAAAGUCCUACAUUUGGCUGAUUUAAUUCUCCUUGUUUCAGUAGUGUUAUAAUUAAAAUGCUAUAAUAAUGUGAAAAAUUGAUGCCAAUGUUUUGUUCAGUUGAAUAAAAACAUGGGAUGAUUAUUUUUCAACCUGCAACCUAUGUACCAGUGAAAAUAACAAAUCCUAUGUACGUAAUAAGUAGCAAGUAGGUCAAUAGGGAAUCCUUCAAUUAAAGUUAGAGAAACACUGGAACAGAUGAUCUCUUAAGAUUCUCAGUAUGAGCUGAAGAAAAAGAACAUUGCUUCUGCAUCUGUCUUUAGUUUUAAAUCAGUGUUAAAGAUCGAACUGGGUUUUGUUCUACCUUCUUCUUUCAAAAUUAUUGUAUGAAAAUUUUGGAAUGUGAAAUGUAAAUAUACAAAAACCUUAGCUGAACUAUGAACAUCUUAGCUAUAUAUAAUUCUAUUGGAUCUGUGACCUGAUCCAAAAGUCACAUUGCUGUGUUUGCAAUAAAAUAAUUCAGGAUUUUUUUACCAUAAACUAAUUCCAAGUCAGUGGCAGCCACUAAUGUGGCUUUUUAUACUUGAGAACAGGCAGAAGAAUUUAAAUGAUUUUCAGUGAUGAUGAUUAUAUAUAUCAGUGGCAACUUGCAAAAAGAGUUGUUUUCAGAGGGAAUCAAUGGUUGGAAAUGUCUUCACUUGAUGCCUUGAGUUUUGACACUAAAUUUAAAUCAAAAUUAUAAUACCACCUCGUAAGGUCUUUUGCUACUAACUUCUAAAAAUAGGCUUAGAGUGGAUAGUGAUGUGCUGUGAUGUGGGUGGGAGAUUUCAUUGUAUAAUUGUUAAAAACGAUUGUGGUUGCUAUGUGGACAUGAUGAAUUUCGCCUCCUUAAGUGUAAUAGGUGGAUGCACUUUGGAACUUAAAUUUUGAAGCAUUUUUAUGGCAAAAAUGCUCCUGGAUGAGGAGUGCAUGAACAGUGUAGAAGAAUUCAUACUUUUCCUGCUGUUUUUACAUUGCUCUAAAGUUACUCUAAAGUUAACUCUACUGUAAUUACAUAAAUAAAAUCUGUACUUUGAACCACGUACAGGAGGGAACCAUCAGAUUACUUUGAGUGAGUGUGUCUCAGCUUUCUGAUGGACAAGCUUUCAGCAUUCCUGAUCUUGGCUAAGCUAAAGGAAUGUAAUUAUUAACUAGUGAAACCACAGUCCUACACGUGCUUUUCACAUGCAGUCUCUUCUAGAACUGUCACAAGUCACUGCUGCUUUCAUUAGGAAUAUCCAUAGAUAUUUUUACAAAAGAUCUUGAUUACUAUGCUAAUGCAUGUAAUUGACACCAGAAGUUCAUAUGGAAAAGAAGGUUAUGUAUAUUUUUCUGUAAGAAUAAUUACUCUUGUCAGCAUAGGCCACACUUUUUAUUUUUCAAGUGCAGAUCAAGCCUAUGAGAAGAAAAAAAUCCAUUUAACAUAUACAUAAGGUUGAUACCUGCUUGGUUAAUACACUCAUAAAAUCAGAAUUCAUGAAGUUAAAAAAUGGGAAGGUAUGGAUAUCAUUAAAUGAUUUUUGAUCAAAGCUCAGCUGAAGGCACUGCAACAUUUAUGCUAUAAUUAGAAACUUACUGACUGUCCUUGCUCAGUGUUUUAUUCAUAGAUAACUAAGGUAUGUACCAUAAACCACAUAUGACUCUGUGAUCAAAGGACAUUUUUCUGUAUAUCUUAUCAGUAGCCAUAUACUAAUUUUAUGAUCUUAUUUUUUUCCCUUUCUAUUGUGUUUCCAUGAACUUUGUAAAGUUUGCUUUGGCUUAUGUUAUGUUAAUCAGUGUAUCUAGUUUUUAUUUAUUUAUUUAACUCUUUAUUUAUUUAAUUGCUUCCUAAAUGUUAAAAAUUAACAAAAAAAUACUCUACAAUUUAACUUUUAUGUUAUCUGAAAGGAUGAAAUGAUUCAUAUUUCAAGCUGGCAAGUCUCCCAUGUCUGAUCGGUACACAGGAGAAGUAAGAAAAGAUAGCAAAACUGAACAACAGAAGCCAUCCAAGAUGAUAGGUCCAUUUUGAGUAUUUUAGCCAUUUUAUCUUUUGUUAUGUUUCUGUGUAUGCUUUAUUUGUGAGACUGGACAUGGAAUUUACUAGUAUUGAAUAUAAGUGGGGAGGGGCCUAAAUAUUCUGUUAGUAGCUGUGGGCAAUUAGGAGAUAAUUCCAAUAUAUGUUAUUAUUUUGGAUGUCAAUGUCUGUCUACGUAUCUAUUGGCUUUCUACUGCUGUUCAAGAAUGAUGUGAAUGUUAUGUGAGUCUUUUGUCAUUUGUUAUUAUCUACUUUGUCAUCUUCUUGUGUAAAAGUCUUUGGUAUGUUGUUUUCUGAAAUAUUAGAUGCAUGAGCCACAGGAGAAAACACAAGAAGGCAGCCUGUACUCUCUCACUUUCAGGCUGAAGGCAGGAACUCAAAGUAAAGGAGUGAAUAGAAGCAAAUCCAUGCUCAGGGCUGUAAAUAAAGCCUCACCUAAUCCCCCCAGAUGCUUGUGUACAAAAGGUAUAAAAUAUUUAUGAGAGUCUGGGUGUAGAAUGCUUUAUCUGUGGGUGAUAACAGCCCAUUUACACUAGAGCAAUCUAGGAUGUAUCUUGACAUUGUUCUCAGGACUGUUUAUGUUACUGAGCCAGAAUAAGUCCAUCACAAUGAAGUUGUAUUAACUGGUUAGCUCUGCUGGACUUCCAGGAUAUUCAACUGAAAACUUAGCAUUCUUCAGCCCUUCCCCUUUUGCUUAGAAAUGUCCUGUGAUCAUGUCCUGCAUGCCUGCUUAAGAGUGAUGCAGGUAUACUUAUUAUUCCUUGUAUCUUAUUAUUUCUUGUAUCUAAUUACAUAUUUUCUAUCUUUCUAUAUUACUUUCAUUAUGUGCCACCAGCAACCAAAGAAGAGGUAUUUGUGUAACUGGUAAAAUGCUGCUAUCCAAAUACAGUGCAGAGGGGCAAAAUGGCCCUUGACAUGAAAGUGCAUAUGAAGCAAUGUCUGCCAUCAGACUCCUCUAUACACUAUUGACAUUCAUUGACACUUGUUUGGAAGAGUCAAAGUGGAUGUGAUAACAGUGAGGUGAUGGGUGAUGUGUGGUGUCUUUCAUCAGUGACGACAGUGACAGUGGAUCACCUCCGCUAGUGCGGAGAGUUUUAUGAGCAUGGCAUGUAGGUCCUUGUUCAUCACUGGUGAGAGUGCAUAGCUAAUCGUGGUGACUAUGCUGAAAAAUAGUGUUUGGAGCUGAGAAUUUCUUCUAGCAAGUAGAGUUACUGUAUUCUUUGUUGUAGUUUCCAUGGAAAUAUAGGAGGCAUUACUUUCAGAGCAACCUACUGUCUAUAUUACUAUAAAGAAAGUCAAAUGUGAGAAACUUAAUGAUAAAUUCAUGCAUUUUGAAAAUGUGUGCAGUAGAUGGGCUGAAGAUAGUGUAUCUGUAAUUGAAAUCUAAAUACUAAUGCUUCAUAAUCUGACUGUAGUCAAAAAGAACAAGCAGUGAGACAGUGCUGUAUUGCAUACCAUGCCAUUUAUUUCCAUAUCAUGUCAUGGCAGGUCAAGUUUCUUGUGAAAUAGAAGAUCUAAAUUACUUUUGUAAAGUACAAUUCCUUAAACUAAACUGUGUAAAAGGUAUAUGUUUGAGGAUAUUUACCUAGGCCACCAGACUAAUAUUGCAUGCAUCUGCUACUUUGUGUACAGAGGUGGGAGGCUUACUGCUUCUUUCUUAAAGAAACAACAUGCCAGGAGUCUUUGUUUUCUGAAUCCUCUAGAUACAUGCCUACAGUAUGUCUUCAUAUCCUAAAGCAUUGUAUUCUAAUGGACCAAGAAGCCACUACAGACCAUGGCUAGUACUUCAGGAUUUUUAUUGUAAAUGUAAAAUCUUAUAUUGUUUUUGAUUCUGAUGGUUCCUGGUAUGCCUGCUUUUAUAGUGAAUUGCUGCAUGAACUGCUGCAUCAGCAAACAGGAUAUCUCUAACCUGUGGAGAUAGUGGGACAGAUGAACAUCCCAGAGAUGUAACUAUUUUGCAAGAACAACAAACAACCAAACAAACAAAAACACAAACAAACAAAAACAAACAACAAAACAGAUCUCCUGGAUAACUUUGUGUCACAGUAAGGUGGCAUUUCCCCACAGUUUUUGGUCUUGCUGAAAGAGUCAUUUGGUUCUGUCAAAAGCAUGAACUUACUUUUAUUCUGUCUGAAAGCAGAAGGAUAAAAGAUAGUAUAUUGAAACUUCCUGAGAUAGUUCUGUCUACAGAUGCAUGGAAACACGACUCAUCCUAAUUGUACUAUUGUAAUGAAGAAGAGAGUUGUGUUACUUUCAGAUUCUGUGGAGUUUGUGAAAAAAAUGCAGAAUGUGUGAAAGCAAAAGAACAUGGACAUGGUGUGAAGACAGUUUUCUGCACAGACUUUGGGGUAUUUACUGGCUUGAGCUCUCCAAGUGAAGCCUAAGAUAGCUAGACUGUUUACAGAUAUGCCCUGAAGUCUUGUGCUCUGAGAAACUGAGUAUCUGUCAAACACCAAAACUGAUCAGGAGCAGCCAAGUAAAGGCAGAAAGUCAAUGAUUAGGUUUACUUGAGUUGCUAUAGAACCAAAUCUUUAAGUAUUAUUUAGUGAAAGCAAGAGAUUAAAUCAGAGCUAUUGCGGUUCAGCCCUCCAUUGUUGGCAGUAUGUUUUUCUUUUCACCUUUGAGCUGACACUCAUGCUUGCCUAAGAAGGAGAUGAUCUCAGAAACACAUCUCUUUACCCUUUGUUGAAAUCUCUUGUUGAGCCACUAUUCCUUUAGGUCACUCCUACCUAUUUGUAUCUCUUCCACUUCCUGCCGUGGUUCUAAACAUCUCUAAUUCAUCAAGCCUUUUCUUUUGGAAGACAGAAUCUUCAAUGACUUGGCCUGUUGACAUGACUGAUAUCACUGAGACAUGGUGGAACAUCUCUCACAACUGAAAUGUAGGAAUAGGUGGGUAUAAACUCUUCAGGAAAGAUGGGCAAGGAAGAAGGGGAGCAAGUGUUGCCCUCUGCAUCAGUGACCACUCGGAGUCCAUGGAGCUUUGCCUGGGGAUAGAUGGGAAGCUGACGUAGAGCUUAUAGGUUAGGGUUAAAGGGGAGGGAGAGGAAGGAGACGUUGUAGUGGAGGUCUGCUACAGUUUGCCUGAUCAGAAAGACCAAGUGGAUGAGGCCCUCUACAGAUAGGAGCAGCUUCACAUUCAUAAAACAUAGUCCUCAUGGGGGACUUCAACCACCCUGAUAUGUGUUGGAGGGACAACACAGCAGUGCGCCAGAAUUCAAAGAGAUUCCUGGAAUGUGUUGAUGAUAACUUCAUCCUCCAAGUAGUACAGGAACCCAUGAGGAAAGGUGCUAUGCUGGACCUUGUCCUCACCAAUGAGGAGGGGCUGGUGAGUAAUGUGAAGCUCAAGGCCAGCUUGGCUGUAGUGACCAGGAAAUUGUGGAGUUCAAAAUCCUUAGGAUUUCAAAAAGGGUGUGCAGCAAGCCUGCUACUCUGGACUUCAGGAGUACAGAUGUUGAACUCUUCAGGGAACCGCUUGGCAGGUUGACAUGGGAGAAAGCGCUGGAGGGAACAGGGGCCCAAGACAGCUCAUCAGUAUUCAAGGACCAUCUUCUUCAAGCCCAGAAGCAGAUUUUAAGAAAAAGUUGAGAUCAUAAUUUUCAAAGCUUUCAUUUUUGAAAAUUUUCAACUGUUCAGCAAAUAAAUACAUAAAGAUACAUUUUGGACUUUUUACUGUUCUCAAUGUCUAACGUAGAAUAACAUCAUGCUACAGUCAUUUCUUCAGAGAGUUUCAAACACAGCCUAUUGGGGCACAGAAGAACAGGUUGAGAAGUGGUGUUAGAGAUGGGACUCAAAAUAAGAAGGCAUGAGUUACAGCCUACAUGUGGAGCAAGGGUUUGGGGAGGGCACUAAAUGUGUGGAUUUAGUGGGACAGAAAUAACCUCUGUAAUAAUUUAAAUGUCCUCUCUGAAAUACAUACUACAGAGUGUCACUUGAUAAUUUAUGACUUGUACCUGUUUUCCAGCACAGUUUAAAAUGUGGCCUUUGGAGUUAGAAGGAAGAAGACUAUCAUUAGACUCACUUAAAAAAAAAGUAAUAAAAGGUGGGAUUUAAACGGCUGUAUUGACAAAUCUAGCCACCUUAAGGAUUUUCUCUCUUAUAUUCUGUAGCCAGUCUCCAAGAUUAAACAUCGACUGACAACAAGAGUGAUGUGGAGCUCAGUGUUACCUUCAACUCCAAGAACAAAUGCAGUAGAAUCUUUUUGUUAAUCCUGAAGUUAAAUGCUUGCCAUUUAAUAAAUACUUAUUUUGCAAUGUAAGAAGAUGGCUUAAAGCAAAUAAAACCACUUCUGAUAAAUUCAGAGCUUGAAUGUUUUCUUAAGCAACAACUUUGGAACCUUGUCAGGGUUCCCUGCUGGGAAGUGCAUGAGGUGCAUGUGAUUUAGGGUAAGCUCUUAAAAACAAUAUUUCUAUGAAUUGAUAAAGUACUGCAAAUUUAUCCUGUUUAGAAAUUAUUUACUUUAAAAUUAUGUCUUUUGACAGUGCUCUGUAGGAAGUGUCUCAGCAAGAAACAGAUACAUGGCCUUGAAAAAAAAGAAUAUAGAGCUAAAGGCAGAAGCUGUAGUAGAUAUUAAACAUUUUUUGUGAGCAGAACGUAUCAAUUUGUGCAAUACCCAGUUACUGUCAUGGCUAUGUAAUAAGAACCUACCUACAGUAGUUAGUAAGGACGUACCUUGUUUACUGACUGCUGUAGGUAUGUUAGUAUUGCAUAGAUCCUGUAGCUUGAAUACCAAAAUGUAUUAAAGCUGGGACAGUCUUUCUGAUCCAUGCAUUUGAUGGAAUCAAGAAGAAUGACUGGAACAAAAGGUGUUCUUGUAUGUCUUCAUGAAGAGUUAAAAUAGGUUAUUUUCACACAGCCAACUCUGUCCACUAGGCCUAAAAUCUCAAAUCUCGCUCAUCCAUCCCUAAUGCAGAUAGAUGUGAGCAAAGGGACAUCAAGAUCAUAGUCUUGUAGGGGUUGGAAGGGUCCUCUAGAGAUCACCUAGUCCAACCCUCCUGCUAAUGCAGGUCUCCUACAGUUGGUUACACAGGACAGUGUGCAGGUAGUUUUUGAGUAUCUCCAGAAAAGGAGACUCCAAAGCCUGGGGUCCUGAUGCUGCUAAACAAUAAGUCAAGGUUUGGUCUUAGUAGCCUAGACAAGGAGGAACAAAGUAGUAAGAUACUAUGGCAUUUAGGAAAUCAUAGACUAAAUAACUGUGUAAAAGCCUUUAGGUGGUCACCUAAUGGAUCUUCAUUUCUAGUAGCAAAAGCAAUCUUAACAUGUUGUAUAAGGAAAGGAUUCUUACCACUCUUCAGCUGUUUUGUUUUGUUUUGUUUUGUUUUUUCCAAAUAACUUCCUCAUCUGAAGAAAGAAACAGGGGCAAAAGCUAAGGGCGAAGACUAAAAAGAGGACCUAAAUCUCCUGACCUCUGGGCUGCUGCCUUAUCCCCAGCGCUGCCUGAUGUUGUCCUUUCACUCUUUGCAACAAGUUACUAUUAGCUGCAUGCUUUUGUAUUACUGAUACAGGAAAAUAUAAGGGUGAAAUACUGAGCUAGUUUGUUUAUGAGCUGUCAAAACACAACACUUGGAGACAUAAAAUGCCUUGCAUAUGCACCAUCUAAAAAAGAUGAAAACUGAGCUACCAGAGACUUAUCUGAAGUCUUCAGUAAGCUUCUACUUAUAAAAAUUCUGCUCCCUAAACCCAAUUUAAUUAUCCAGACUAUCCAUAUGUCCCUGAGCUUGGUGGAAAUACUCUUGGGUGAUGAUACUGCUGUAGUCAGAAAUGAUCAACUUAUCCAAUAUGUCAGUUAGAGCAGUAGCAGAUGUUUUUGACUUUCAAAGGGUGAGGAAAUUGCUGACUAGUAAACCUGAUUUUCUUUGUUGUUAUUUGGUUAAUUUUG